ACAACAUUAAGCUUCCAUCUAUUUAGUCAAUAAGAGAGUCCUUUACAUAGAGUCCCCAACAAUUAAGAGAGAAAAUACCUUGUAGAAGAAAGUCCAAAUAAAAGUUCUGGUUCACACAAGGAAAAUAUGAUGGAGGAAGGAUAAACUUCAGUAACUUGUCUAGAUAAAAGAUGGUAGAACAGUGAAGACAAAGAGGAUGAUCGUGUCACUGAAGACAAUGAUGAGGUUCCCCUCAAUGGACGAUAGAUCUCCCCUUUUAUUUUUGGAGAUGCGUGAUGUCAAAAAUUUUUUCUCUCUUUUUCCGGUCACUGUUUCCUUCUUCGAUCAUCAGUUCGCUUUUUCUUUUUCAGUUGCUGUUUCCUUCUCUGAUCAUCAUUUAUUACCGACAACAGUUCCUUAUCCGACCAUCAUUUUAUUAACAGUGACAGUUCCUUCCCUCACACUUUUGAUUAGAAUAAUCUUUUCAUCUGAAUUAGAAUAAUGAGGAAGUAAUGUUACAAAUAAACAUGUUUUCAUGCUUGUAAAUGAAUCAAAAUAUAAAUCAAGUGAAUCAAAUGAAAAAUAUAGAUACAAAACUGAGACAAAGAGUAGAGAUAUUAGAAUAGUAGAUAUUUUUAAAUAAGAAUAAAAUUUUUUACCAGUUGAAUUAAAAAG
Molecule: long non-coding RNA, 654 nt
Filed under: Androctonus crassicauda
Lineage: Eukaryota; Metazoa; Arthropoda; Arachnida; Scorpiones; Buthidae
Source: RNAcentral